Molecule: ribosomal RNA, 497 nt
Filed under: uncultured bacterium
Lineage: Bacteria
Description: partial 16S ribosomal RNA
Rfam family: Bacterial small subunit ribosomal RNA
Source: RNAcentral
GAUGAACGCUGGCGGCGUGCCUAAUACAUGCAAGUCGAGCGAACAGACGAGGAGCUUGCUCCUCUGACGUUAGCGGCGGACGGGUGAGUAACACGUGGAUAACCUACCUAUAAGACUGGGAUAACUUCGGGAAACCGGAGCUAAUACCGGAUAAUAUAUUGAACCGCAUGGUUCAAUAGUGAAAGACGGUUUUGCUGUCACUUAUAGAUGGAUCCGCGCCGCAUUAGCUAGUUGGUAAGGUAACGGAUUACCAAGGCGACGAUGCGUAGCCGACCUGAGAGGGUGAUCGGCCACACUGGAACUGAGACACGGUCCAGACUCCUACGGGAGGCAGCAGUAGGGAAUCUUCCGCAAUGGGCGAAAGCCUGACGGAGCAACGCCGCGUGAGUGAUGAAGGUCUUCGGAUCGUAAAACUCUGUUAUUAGGGAAGAAAAAAUGUGUAAGUAACUAUGCACGUCUUGACGGUACCUAAUCAGAAAGCCACGGCUAACUACGUG